Molecule: long non-coding RNA, 1546 nt
Organism: Acyrthosiphon pisum (pea aphid)
Lineage: Eukaryota; Metazoa; Arthropoda; Insecta; Hemiptera; Aphididae
Exons: 3
Source: RefSeq, a predicted model, not a curated record
UACCUACUAAUACAUUUAUAAACUAUUUUAGUACACCAACAUGAACGGCUCAUUCUAUUAAGAAUUUACAAAUAUGAAUUCCCUCCAACAACAAAUAUUAUGUGCGAUAAUAAUUCACUCCUAUACAGUGAUUUAGCAAGUAAAUAAUAAUAAUAGGUCAUUUUGGAUUACUUUACAAAGAAUAAUGUUUAAAUGAAAGUUGUCGAAAUAUGUUACUAAUACUUUUUAUUCUGACAUCAAGGUAUGAUACAUGUUUUGUUAAAGAUGCCAUAAUGAUUCCCCCAAAAAGUGAACUGUAUACACAAUAUUUUAACAUCAUUUGACCAAAUAAUUAAAGUUGAUUAUUAUCAAAAAUUUCCAAAGAAAUGUCUUCAAAACUUACAUGUCGCACUAUGUAUCAUUCAUGUCAUUGAUGAGAGAGUAGAUGAGUGACUCUGAGACUGAGACUGCCUCAAAAGAGACUACCCGGAUGUACAAUGAUCACCUAGAAUUAUCUCAUGUGCCUUUAUGAAGACGGUCCCGCCGGUACCUGCGGAAGUCACAGAAUACCCGGCAGCACGGUCAGCUGUUGUUCCGCGGAGGAGGUCUGCAUGGAAGAGGACCAAACGGUUCGUUUGGAGUUCGUUAGUGAACGUGGCACGCAGAGUUUGCUUCUGUCAAACCUUCGUAGACAUAGAGUAAUGUUCACCAAGUUUUCGACCUCUACCCUACCUAGCCUGGGUUUCUAAUAACGGAUGGGAAAGCGUCCGCAAAACCCGACUUCUCGGUCGAGGGCAGCAGUCAAGGCGAAGCGAUGUGGGAUCGAGGUAUAAGGUACGUGAAAGUGCACUUUUGGGGUGAUCGGCGGUAAGUCACCAACACACGUUCUCCGACCACCGGCGGCAGGGCCAAGGGAUCGCGGACAUCCGGAGAUCCUCUGGAGGCGUGGCGGGCCCCGGCUGCUUCGGUCCGAGAGCGACGACGACACUGGCUAGCUGUACCGGAGGUACCAUUGGCGGUAUGAUUGGCGCAGCGUUGCACUGCGAAGACGACUCGUGAAUUUAACGACGGAAGUCGUAGAGCACACGUAAUUAUUAUUAUUAUAUACGGUGGCUAGGGACCAUAUUAUAAUAAUAAUAUUAUAGUCUUCGUCGCUCGCUCCGAGGAGCUUUGGUCACCAUCUUCGCACAGUUGCUUCUGCAGCACAAUAUCUAUAGCGCACGUCAUCAAUCGUCGCCAACCGUCAUCGUUGCUCUCGCAGCCGUCGUGGUCGGGUUCCGCCCGCUUCUGUGGUCGUCUUCGAGUCCUCGAGGAAACGCGCUCGCGACUCUUGUCCUCCCGCAGAACCGGCCGCAAGAACGAUGUAGAGGUGACAAUCUGCACCACCCACUCUACCAUCACGUACCCCCCACCACGCAUCGUCUUGACUGAUGUCUUUUUUUUUACAAUUUUAAUUCAUUAUAAUUUAUUCUGCCACAUUGUGCACCUUUUUUUUUGUUAUAUUAUUAAUAUAAUUGCGAGCGAUUUUCCUAUAUUUCUUUGUAUUACUUAUUAAUUAUUUUUCGGC